RNAcentral lists this ribosomal RNA (879 nucleotides) under uncultured bacterium. RNAcentral's name for it is "bacterial SSU rRNA". It matches the Rfam family "Bacterial small subunit ribosomal RNA", at positions 59 to 916 of the family's 1533-position model. The record is from RNAcentral.
AAAGGGCGAGCGGUAGAGAGAAGCUUGCUUCUCCUGAGAGCGGCGGACGGGUGAGUAAUGCCUAGGAAUCUGCCUGGUAGUGGGGGAUAACGCUCGGAAACGGACGCUAAUACCGCAUACGUCCUACGGGAGAAAGCAGGGGACCUUCGGGCCCUUGCCGCUAUCCAGAUGAGCCCUAGGUCGGAUUAAGCUAGUUGGUGAGGUAAUGGCUCACCAAGGCGACGAUCCCGUAACUGGUCUGAGAGGAUGAUCAGUCACACUGGAACUGAGACACGGUCCAGACUCCUACGGGAGGCAGCAGUGGGGAAUAUUGGACAAUGGGCGAAAGCCUGAUCCAGCCAUGCCGCGUGUGUGAAGAAGGUCUUCGGAUUAUAAAGCACUUUAAGUUGGGAGGAAGGGCAUUAACCUAAUACGUUGGUGUCUUGACGUUACCGACAGAAUAAGCACCGGCUAACUCUGUGCCAGCAGCCGCGGUAAUACAGAGGGUGCAAGCGUUAAUCGGAAUUACUGGGCCGUAAAAGCGCGCGUAGGUGGCUCGUUAAGUUGGAUGUGAAAUCCCCGGGCUCAACCUGGGGAACUGCAUUCAAAACUGACGAGCUAGAGUAUGGUAAGAGGGUGGUUGGAAUUUUCCUGUGUAGCAGUGAAAUGCGUAGAGAUGUGGAAGGAAUACCCGAUUGGCGAAGGCAGCCCCCUGGGAUAACACUGACGCUCAUGCACGAAAGCGUGGGGAGCAAACAGGAUUAGAUACCCUGGUAGUCCACGCCGUAAACGAUGUCAACUAGCCGUUGGGAGCCUUGAGCUCUUAGUGGCGCAGCUAACGCAUUAAGUUGUCCACCUGGGGAGUACGGCCGCAAGGUUAAAACUCAAAUGAAUUGACGG